GGAGGUGCAUGGCCGUCGUCAGUUCGUACUGUGAAGCAUCCUGUUAAGUCAGGCAACGAGCGAGACCCACGCCAACAGUUGCCAGCUCGUCCUCCGGGGAUGGUGGGGACACUGUUGGGACCGCCUCUGCUAAAGAGGAGGAAGGAAUGGGCAACGGUAGGUCAGCAUGCCCCGAAUUAUCUGGGCUACACGCGGGCUACAAUGGGUGGGACAAUGGGUAUCGACACCGAAAGGUGAAGGCAAUCUCCUAAACCCAUCCGUAGUUCGGAUUGUGGGCUGCAACUCGCCCACAUGAAGCUGGAAUCUGUAGUAAUCGUGUCUCAAAAUGGCACGGUGAAUAUGUCCCUGCUCCUU
This 354-nucleotide ribosomal RNA is filed under the name uncultured Methanomicrobiales archaeon. RNAcentral's name for it is "bacterial SSU rRNA". It matches the Rfam family "Archaeal small subunit ribosomal RNA", at positions 986 to 1338 of the family's 1478-position model. The record is from RNAcentral. Lineage: Archaea; Methanobacteriati; Methanobacteriota; Methanomicrobia; Methanomicrobiales.